GGAAGUAAAAGUCGUAACAAGGUCUCCGUUGGUGAACCAGCGGAGGGAUCAUUACCGAGUUUACAACUCCCAAACCCCUGUGAACAUACCAAUUGUUGCCUCGGCGGAUCAGCCCGCUCCCGGUAAAACGGGACGGCCCGCCAGAGGACCCCUAAACUCUGUUUCUAUAUGUAACUUCUGAGUAAAACCAUAAAUAAAUCAAAACUUUCAACAACGGAUCUCUUGGUUCUGGCAUCGAUGAAGAACGCAGCAAAAUGCGAUAAGUAAUGUGAAUUGCAGAAUUCAGUGAAUCAUCGAAUCUUUGAACGCACAUUGCGCCCGCCAGUAUUCUGGCGGGCAUGCCUGUUCGAGCGUCAUUUCAACCCUCAAGCCCAGCUUGGUGUUGGGACUCGCGAGUCAAAUCGCGUUCCCCAAAUUGAUUGGCGGUCACGUCGAGCUUCCAUAGCGUAGUAGUAAAACCCUCGUUACUGGUAAUCGUCGCGGCCACGCCGUUAAACCCCAACUUCUGAAUGUUGACCUCGGAUCAGGUAGGAAUACCCGCUGAACUUAAGCAUAUCAAUAAGCGGAGGA
RNAcentral lists this ribosomal RNA (570 nucleotides) under Fusarium sp. PRE4b. RNAcentral describes it as "eukaryotic LSU rRNA". The stretch from base 203 to 356 matches the Rfam family "5.8S ribosomal RNA". The record is from RNAcentral. Lineage: Eukaryota; Fungi; Ascomycota; Sordariomycetes; Hypocreales; Nectriaceae.